CUUAACCGUCAUUAACCUACUAAGCAGAGUUUAGAGUAUAAACUCAUCGGUUAAUUAUGGAAACUGGUUCACCGCUACGACGACGCGACGGCGGCCGAAACCUUAAUUUUCGGCGGCGUCGGCGGACUCCCGGACCGGGCCUAAAACUUGGCCCAACAAAUCUCAGCCCAAAUCUGAGAUUUGUUUCCAACUUGGGCUGGGUUUCACUUGAUUUGCAGGCUGAACUUUGGUGGACUUGGGCUUCAAUUGACUUGUUGGAAUUGGGCUGAAGAGCAGCUGAUUUCACGCGGCUGCUGGGCCUGUUGAUGGGCCUUCGGUGGAGACCGAAAUUUCGGUCGUUGAUGGGAGAAACUGAAGCAGCGAAGGAGUCGUUGAGGUUGGCGGUUGACUGGGACGGCAGCUCGUGGACGGUGCUGCUUCGCUUGGUGUUGCUGGCGACAAGAAGACUUGAAGAUCGGUGGACUUGGACGCGCGGAAAGGGACGCUCGCUUGUUGACCAAACCGAAUGAAGACUUCGACGUGGUAGCUUCAGUCGUGCGGUGUCGCUUGAAGACUUCAGCUGAAGAUUUACUGAAGAAGACACGAGCGUGGAGCUGAAGACACGAGGGGCAAGAUGGAAGAGCUUCGGUGGGUGAGCUGUACGAAGACACGGGCAGGGCAGCUUCGGUCAACAAAGCAGGAACUCAGCUGACUUCGGUGGGCUUUGGAGAUGGCAGUGCGGCAAGACCGAAACUGUUUCGGUGGAGAAGCUGGUGGGGGCUUCUUCAGACGGUGGUAGCUCGACAAAAUUGAAGACGCGUGGGCCCAGAUCUUCGGUGGUGUUGAUCUGUAGCAACUGGAGACAUGGGCGCUGAAUUGAAGAAAGCUGAGUCGAUCUUCUUUGCUGGCGGUUGAUCGGGCCUUGAGACGACACAGGAUGCGGCAGCUAGCUCAAAGGGGAUGAAGGAAGGAGCUUCGAAUGAGAAAAUCGAAAGAAAGCAGAGGCAGAAGACUUCAGCUGAGCUGCAUGCGGUGGGGAAAUCGGGGUAAGCUUCAAGGGAAUGAUGAAAGUGACGUGAAGCAGC
RNAcentral lists this long non-coding RNA (1064 nucleotides) under Eucalyptus grandis. Its description in RNAcentral is "long non-coding RNA (EGRA_LNC004240)". Lineage: Eukaryota; Viridiplantae; Streptophyta; Magnoliopsida; Myrtales; Myrtaceae. The record is from RNAcentral.